This 254-nucleotide ribosomal RNA is filed under the name uncultured bacterium. Its description in RNAcentral is "partial 16S ribosomal RNA". It matches the Rfam family "Bacterial small subunit ribosomal RNA", at positions 524 to 776 of the family's 1533-position model. The record is from RNAcentral.
CACGUAGGGGGCGAGCGUUGUCCGGAUUUAUUGGGCGUAAAGAGCUCGUAGGCGGCUUUGUCAGUCGGGUGUGAAACCUCCAGGCUCAACCUGGAGCCGCCACCCGAUACUGCAAUAGCUAGAGUCCGGUAGGGGAGCAUGGAACUCCUGGUGUAGCGGUGAAAUGCGCAGAUAUCAGGAGGAACACCGAUGGCGAAGGCAGGUCACUGGGCCGCAACUGACGCUGAGGAGCGAAAGCAUGGGGAGCGAACAGG